AUUGAACGCUGGCGGCAUGCCUUACACAUGCAAGUCGAACGGCAGCACGGGUGCUUGCACCUGGUGGCGAGUGGCGAACGGGUGAGUAAUAUAUCGGAACGUACCUUAUCGUGGGGAUAACGCAGCGAAAGCUGCGCUAAUACCGCAUACGCCCUGAGGGGGAAAGCGGGGGGACCGUAAGGCCUCGCGCGAUUAGAGCGGCCGAUAUCUGAUUAGCUUGUUGGUGGGGUAAAAGCCCACCAAGGCGACGAUCAGUAGCUGGUCUGAGAGGACGAUCAGCCACACUGGGACUGAGACACGGCCCAGACUCCUACGGGAGGCAGCAGUGGGGAAUUUUGGACAAUGGGGGCAACCCUGAUCCAGCAAUGCCGCGUGAGUGAAGAAGGCCUUCGGGUUGUAAAGCUCUUUUGUCAGGGAAGAAGCAGCAGCUCUAACACAGUCUGCGAAUGACGGUACCUGAAGAAUAAGCACCGGCUAACUACGUG
This 485-nucleotide ribosomal RNA is filed under the name uncultured bacterium. RNAcentral describes it as "bacterial SSU rRNA". It matches the Rfam family "Bacterial small subunit ribosomal RNA", at positions 30 to 507 of the family's 1533-position model. The record is from RNAcentral.